RNAcentral lists this ribosomal RNA (373 nucleotides) under Lysinibacillus fusiformis. RNAcentral describes it as "bacterial SSU rRNA". It matches the Rfam family "Bacterial small subunit ribosomal RNA", at positions 369 to 734 of the family's 1533-position model. The record is from RNAcentral. Lineage: Bacteria; Bacillati; Bacillota; Bacilli; Caryophanales; Bacillaceae.
CAAUGGGCGAAAGCCUGAUGGAGCAACGCCGCGUGAGUGAAGAAGGAUUUCGGUUCGUAAAACUCUGUUGUAAGGGAAGAACAAGUACAGUAGUAACUGGCUGUACCUUGACGGUACCUUAUUAGAAAGCCACGGCUAACUACGUGCCAGCAGCCGCGGUAAUACGUAGGUGGCAAGCGUUGUCCGGAAUUAUUGGGCGUAAAGCGCGCGCAGGUGGUUUCUUAAGUCUGAUGUGAAAGCCCACGGCUCAACCGUGGAGGGUCAUUGGAAACUGGGAGACUUGAGUGCAGAAGAGGAUAGUGGAAUUCCAAGUGUAGCGGUGAAAUGCGUAGAGAUUUGGAGGAACACCAGUGGCGAAGGCGACUAUCUGGUC